Molecule: ribosomal RNA, 460 nt
Filed under: uncultured bacterium
Lineage: Bacteria
Description: partial 16S ribosomal RNA
Rfam family: Bacterial small subunit ribosomal RNA
Source: RNAcentral
CCUACGGGGGGCAGCAGUGAGGAAUAUUGGUCAAUGGGCGCGAGCCUGAACCAGCCAAGUAGCGUGAAGGAUGACUGCCCUACGGGUUGUAAACUUCUUUUAUAAAGGAGUAAAGUGAGGCACGUGUGCCUUUUUGUAUGUAUUUUAUGAAUAAGGAUCGGCUAACUCCGUGCCAGCAGCCGCGGUAAUACGGAGGAUCCGAGAGUUAUCCGGAUUUAUUUGGUUUAAAGGGAGCGUAGAUGGGUUGUUAAGUCAGUUGUGAAAGUUUUCGGCUCAAACGUAAAAUUGCAAUUGAUACUGGCAGCCUUGAGUACAGUUGAGGUAGGCGGAAUUCGUGGUGUAGCGGUGAAAUGCUUAGAUAUCACGAAGAACUCCGAUUGCGAAGGCAGCCUACUAAACUGCCACUGACAUUGAUGCUCGAAAGUGUGGGUAUCAAACAGUAUUAGAUACCCGUGUAGUC